UACGAAGGGGGCUAGCGUUGCUCGGAAUCACUGGGCGUAAAGGGCGCGUAGGCGGCCUAGCAAGUCAGGGGUGAAAGCCUGUGGCUCAACCACAGAAUGGCCUUUGAUACUGCUGGGCUCGAGACCGGAAGAGGUUGGUGGAACUGCGAGUGUAGAGGUGAAAUUCGUAGAUAUUCGCAAGAACACCGGUGGCGAAGGCGGCCAACUGGUCCGGUUCUGACGCUGAGGCGCGAAAGCGUGGGGAGCAAACAGG
RNAcentral lists this ribosomal RNA (253 nucleotides) under uncultured bacterium. RNAcentral describes it as "partial 16S ribosomal RNA". It matches the Rfam family "Bacterial small subunit ribosomal RNA", at positions 524 to 776 of the family's 1533-position model. The record is from RNAcentral.